GUAGCCACGACUCUACAGUAGUCCACGACUCGGUGUCAGUCCCGAACGGGGCGUCGCGUAUUCGAUGGCCAUCAGCCAGCACCGCGCACAGCAAGCGGAGGGUCCCACUCUUAUCGGGCAUCUCGCCACUGGAAUAUCACAAAACUACGAAUUGAAGGGCGCAAAAUGACCAACACCAGGACUACCACCACCAACCACCACACGUCAUGAGUUUGGCCGCUUUAGGGGGGAGAACAGGUGGCAUGCAGCGAGGCGACCGGUGGCGCUCACCAACAACAGCGAAAAACCCGAAGGCACCCAGAAGGGCGUGCAGCGGUGAUCAGAGGAGACCAGGGCUGCUGACCCGUUCUUGAUCAAGCCCGACUCUGUAGGACGGAUGCAGGCUUCGUCUGCACCCCCCCCCCGCCCACCCCACCCCCAGUACUGAAUUGCUUCGAGUCAUUUUCCCAGGUGAAAAUCUGCACCCACGGCGAUUCGACCGUCACGCAUCACGGUCGCCAUUCACUUCCAAUAUUUUUUGCCUUUGUUUUUUUUUGGUUAUAGCCCAUUGAGCUGUUUUUUUGUUGUAUCUUUUCUGACAGUUCUGUUUUAUUCCAUUAGUUCUUAAUGUGAUAUUGGUGUAAUUAUCGUAUAGCUUUGCGUGAAUAAUAAAUAAUAGAUUUUCGACAUGGGCACAAUUCAAUUAACGGACCGUCCGUGUGCUAAAGGAGGGAACGCACCCGAAAUAAUUCCCACCGUGGAAAUGGAAUUAAAUCGGCUCGUGCGCCGGACAAUUGGAUAGAUUGUCGCUUCACAAGACCGUGAGAGAUAGCGAGACGGAGUGGGAAGGCCUUCACCAAGCAGUGGAUAAGAUCGCCGCUGCUGAUGGCGACCAUCGUGUAAAGUGAUUAAUCUAUGCAUCUUUACGCGGCUACCGGUUAAGGCUCUAACACGAGUAUUUUUAAUAAACACGGCAUGACACACGGACAGCCAUCGACAGGAUAUAUAUCGUGAGCCAACAGGUCUGGGCAGUUAAUUGGAAGCUGGCUUCAAUUCAGCUGCCAAUGUUCUAUUUUACUUUGUGCACAGCCACCAAUGCCAGUUUAUUGCCCCGAUCCACUUGAGGUUGUGAACAAAAUGAGAGACCUGAAGACGUCUACGUGCUGUCGGGAAUAUUUCAUAUCCAGAAUGAAUGUUACGUUACAAAGAGGUAAAGGCGUGGCCCUGAAAUGUCUUGCUCACGCCAAUGUUGGUAGAAAGGCUUCCAAUAGAGGGGAGCUCAAUGGAGCUCCUUUCGAGGAAAUGUGGCCUACUCUUCCAUACUCGCCAGAUGUUUUGGAAGAGGCGGACGUACCCUGCGUUUAUGCUGCAGCUGGGUGGAUAGAGGUGACGUGGUGGAGGGGGGGGGGUAGUGGGGAUUCCAGAAACUUGCCUCAUUCUUUCAACUGCCACACCAGGAGAUAGACUCGAACCGGCGCCCCCUGGAUGCCAAGUCGAGUGCGCUGCACCAUUACGCCACUGUGGUCGCAUCCCGGACGGAAGGGUGAUGUGUAAACCCGCAUUAAUGGAGUUGCCCAAACAUAUGACUAUAGGAUCGCAGAGCUCGGACAAUUGUUGAUCGAUUGAUUGUGGUGUACACAUUUAUUCUGCUGAUUGGACGGAGGCAGGGGGAUUUAAGAAAAACUGUUUCUAUCACUCCUGGAGAUGGAAACGAACCUGAGUCCUCCGUUGUGCUCGCUUUUGCAUCACGGCAGCAUCCCGAUCAUCAACAUAUUAACCAUUAGCUAUUCAGAAAUAGCGUCUUAAAGGAAUAUACAUUGUAUUGUUUGGUAUUAAUUUCUUUGGAAUUGUGCUGUGAAUGUUCACUUAAUAUGUAUGCACUACUGUUUUGUUUUUUCGGUAAAGAAACGUAGGUAAAAUAAAAUAAAUGAUUUAAUUUA
Molecule: non-coding RNA, 1919 nt
Organism: Petromyzon marinus (sea lamprey)
Lineage: Eukaryota; Metazoa; Chordata; Hyperoartia; Petromyzontiformes; Petromyzontidae
Source: RefSeq, a predicted model, not a curated record